GACGAACGCUGGCGGCGUGCCUAACACAUGCAAGUCGAACGGAGAUAUGAUUUCGGUUAUAUCUUAGUGGCGAACGGGUGAGUAACGCGUGAGCAACCUGACCUUCAGAGGGGGAUAACACUUGGAAACAGGUGCUAAUACCGCAUAAGACCACGACCCGACAUCGGGAUGCGGUCAAAGGAGCAAUCCGCUGAGGGAGGGGCUCGCGUCCCAUUAGAUAGAUGGCGGGGUAACGGCCCACCAUGUCGACGAUGGGUAGCCGAGCUGAGAGGCUGAUCGGCCACACUGGAACUGAGACACGGUCCAGACUCCUACGGGAGGCAGCAGUGGGGAAUAUUGGGCAAUGGGCGCAAGCCUGACCCAGCAACGCCGCGUGAGGGAAGAAGGCCUUCGAGUUGUAAACCUCUGUCCUUGGUGACGAAAAAAAUGACGGUAGCCAAGGAGGAAGCCCCGGCUAACUACGUG
This 465-nucleotide ribosomal RNA is filed under the name uncultured bacterium. Its description in RNAcentral is "bacterial SSU rRNA". It matches the Rfam family "Bacterial small subunit ribosomal RNA", at positions 28 to 507 of the family's 1533-position model. The record is from RNAcentral.